Molecule: ribosomal RNA, 460 nt
Filed under: uncultured bacterium
Lineage: Bacteria
Description: partial 16S ribosomal RNA
Rfam family: Bacterial small subunit ribosomal RNA
Source: RNAcentral
CCUACGGGUGGCAGCAGUGAGGAAUAUUGGUCAAUGGGCGAGAGCCUGAACCAGCCAAGUCGCGUGAAGGAUGACGGCCCUACGGGUUGUAAACUUCUUUUGUCAGGGAGCAAUUGGGUCCACGCGUGGGCUUAGCGAGAGUACCUGAAGAAAAAGCAUCGGCUAACUCCGGGCCAGCAGCCGCGGUAAUACGGAGGAUGCGACCGUUAUCCGGAUUUAUGGGGUUAAAAGGGUGCGUUGGCGGAAUAUCAAGUCAGCGGUAAAAAUUCGGGGCUCAACCCCGUCGUGCCGUUGAAACUGAUGUUCUUGAGUGGGCGAGAAGUAUGCGGAAUGCGCGGUGUAGCGGUGAAAUGCAUAGAUAUCGCGCAGAACUCCGAUUGCGAAGGCAGCAUGCCGGCUCCACACUGACGCUGAGGCACGAAAGCGUGGGUAUCGAACAGGAUUAGAUACCCGAGUAGUC